CGNGACGCUGGCGGCGUGCCUAAUCAUGCAAGUCGAGCGAAUGAAAGAGAAGCUUGCUUCUCUGGAUUUAGCGGCGGACGGGUGAGUAACACGUGGGCAACCUACCUUAUAGAUGGGGAUAACUCCGGGAAACCGGGGCUAAUACCGAAUAACUCCAAGCACCUCCUGGUGCUUGGCUGAAAGACGGUUUCGGCUGUCACUAUAAGAUGGGCCCGCGGCGCAUUAGCUAGUUGGUAAGGUAACGGCUUACCAAGGCAACGAUGCGUAGCCGACCUGAGAGGGUGAUCGGCCACACUGGGACUGAGACACGGCCCAGACUCCUACGGGAGGCAGCAGUAGGGAAUCUUCCACAAUGGACGAAAGUCUGAUGGAGCAACGCCGCGUGAGUGAAGAAGGUUUUCGGAUCGUAAAACUCUGUUGUAAGGGAAGAACAAGUACAGUAGUAACUGGCUGUACCUUGACGGUACCUUAUUAGAAAGCCACGGCUAACUACGUGCCAGCAGCCGCGGUAAUACGUAGGUGGCAAGCGUUGUCCGGAAUUAUUGGGCGUAAAGCGCGCGCAGGCGGUCCUUUAAGUCUGAUGUGAAAGCCCACGGCUCAACCGUGGAAGGUCAUUGGAAACUGGGGGACUUGAGUGCANAAGAGGUUAGUGGAAUUCCAAGUGUAGCGGUGAAAUGCGUANAGAUUUGGAGGAACACCAGUGGCGAAGGCGACUAACUGGUCUGUAACUGACGCUGAGGCGCGAAAGCGUGGGGAGCAAACAGGAUUANAUACCCUGGUAGUCCNCNCCGUAACNAUGANUGCUAANUGUUAGGGGGUUCCNCCCCUUA
This 830-nucleotide ribosomal RNA is filed under the name Lysinibacillus sphaericus. Its description in RNAcentral is "bacterial SSU rRNA". It matches the Rfam family "Bacterial small subunit ribosomal RNA", at positions 30 to 842 of the family's 1533-position model. Lineage: Bacteria; Bacillati; Bacillota; Bacilli; Caryophanales; Bacillaceae. The record is from RNAcentral.